AGAGUUUGAUCCUGGCUCAGGAUGAACGCUGGCGGCGUGCCUAACACAUGCAAGUCGAACGAAGCACCUUUUGAGAUUCUUCGGAUGAUCGAUCGGUGACUGAGUGGCGGACGGGUGAGUAACGCGUGGGUAACCUGCCCUGUACAGGGGGAUAACAGCUGGAAACGGCUGCUAAUACCGCAUAAGCGCACGAGGAGACAUCUCCUAGUGUGAAAAACUCCGGUGGUACAGGAUGGGCCCGCGUCUGAUUAGCUGGUUGGCAGGGUAACGGCCUACCAAGGCAACGAUCAGUAGCCGGUCUGAGAGGAUGAACGGCCACAUUGGAACUGAGACACGGUCCAAACUCCUACGGGAGGCAGCAGUGGGGAAUAUUGCACAAUGGGGGAAACCCCGAUGCAGCAACGCCGCGUGAGUGAAGAAGUAUUUCGGUAUGUAAAGCUCUAUCAGCAGGGAAGAUAAUGACGGUACCUGACUAAGAAGCUCCGGCUAAAUACGUGCCAGCAGCCGCGGU
RNAcentral lists this ribosomal RNA (511 nucleotides) under uncultured Gram-positive bacterium. RNAcentral describes it as "bacterial SSU rRNA". It matches the Rfam family "Bacterial small subunit ribosomal RNA", at positions 8 to 521 of the family's 1533-position model. The record is from RNAcentral.